UAAGUAGACAGUGAAAUCUGGUGGCUCAACCAUUCAGACUGUUGUCUAAACUGCUAAGCUCGAGAAUGUUAGGGUGGCUGGAAUUUCUAGUGUAGGAGUGAAAUCCGUAGAUAUUAGAAAGAACACCGAUAGCGUAGGCAGGCUACUGGGACAUUUCUGACACUAAGGCACGAAAGCGUAGGGAGCAAACGGGAUUAGAUACCCCGGUAGUCUACGCCGUAAACGAUGGAUACUA
Molecule: ribosomal RNA, 235 nt
Filed under: uncultured Candidatus Saccharibacteria bacterium
Lineage: Bacteria; Candidatus Saccharimonadota
Description: partial 16S ribosomal RNA
Rfam family: Bacterial small subunit ribosomal RNA
Source: RNAcentral